This 725-nucleotide ribosomal RNA is filed under the name uncultured Erwinia sp. RNAcentral's name for it is "bacterial SSU rRNA". It matches the Rfam family "Bacterial small subunit ribosomal RNA", at positions 318 to 1048 of the family's 1533-position model. Lineage: Bacteria; Pseudomonadati; Pseudomonadota; Gammaproteobacteria; Enterobacterales; Erwiniaceae. The record is from RNAcentral.
CAGCAUCCAAGGUCCAAGCUCAUCAUCGAGGCAGCACGAUCCCUUAAUGGGCGCAAGCCUGAUGCAGCCAUGCCGCGUGUGUGAAGAAGGCCUUGGGUUGUAAAGCACUUUCAGCGGGAAGGAAGGGGGCAGCUUAAUACGUCUGUCCAUUGACGUUACCCGCAGAAGAAGCACCGGCUAACUCCGUGCCAGCACCCGCGGUAAUACGGAGGGUGCAAGCGUUAAUCGGAAAUGACUGGGCGUAAAGCGCACGCAGGCGGUCUGUUAAGUUGGAUGUGAAAUCCCCGGGUUAACCUGGGAACUGCAUUCAAAACUGACAGGCUAGAGUCUCGUAGAGGGGGGUAGAAUUCCAGGUGUAGCGGUGAAAGCGUAGAGAUCUGGAGGAAUACCGUUGGCGAAGGCGGCCCCUUGGACGAAGCUGACGCUCAGGUGCGAAAGCGUGGGGAGCAAACAGGUUAGAUACCCUGGUAGUCCACGCUGUAAACGAUGUCGAUUUGGAGGUGGUGCCCUUGAGGCGUGGUUCCGGAGCUAACGCGUUAAAUCGACCGCCUGGGGAGUACGGCCGCAAGGUUAAAACUCAAAUGAAUUGACGGGGGCCCGCACAAGCGGUGGAGCAUGUGGGUUUAAUUCCGAUGCAACGCGAAGAACCUUACCUACUCUUGACAUCAGAGAAGCCUGCAAGAUGCGGGCGUGCCUUCGGGAGCUCUGAGACAGGUGCUGCAUCA